RNAcentral lists this ribosomal RNA (378 nucleotides) under uncultured organism. RNAcentral's name for it is "partial 16S ribosomal RNA". It matches the Rfam family "Bacterial small subunit ribosomal RNA", at positions 523 to 896 of the family's 1533-position model. The record is from RNAcentral.
CGGGGGGGGGGGCAAGCGUUGUUCGGAAUUACUGGGCGUAAAGGGCGCGUAGGCGGACGAGCAAGUCUCUCGUGAAAUCCCAUGGGCUCAACCGUGGAAUUGCGGGAGAAACUGCUCGCCCUUGAGUUCGGGAGAGGAGAGUGGAAUUCCCAGUGUAGCGGUGAAAUGCGUAGAUAUUGGGAGGAACACCGGUGGCGAAGGCGGCUCUCUGGACCGAGACUGACGCUGAGGCGCGAAAGCCAGGGGAGCAAACGGGAUUAGAUACCCCGGUAGUCCUGGCCGUAAACGAUGAACACUUGGUGUAGCGGGUAUCGACCCCUGCUGUGCCGGAGCUAACGCAUUAAGUGUUCCGCCUGGGGAGUACGGUCGCAAAGGCUG